GACGAACGCUGGCGGCGUGCUUAACACAUGCAAGUCGAGCGGUAAGGCCCUUUCGGGGGUACACGAGCGGCGAACGGGUGAGUAACACGUGGGUGACCUGCCCUCAGCUCUGGGAUAAGCCUGGGAAACCGGGUCUAAUACUGGAUAUGACUCCAUGACGCAUGUUGUGGGGUGGAAAGCCUUGUGCGGCUGAGGAUGGGCCCGCGGCCUAUCAGCUUGUUGGUGGGGUGANGGGCCUACCAAGGCGACGACGGGUAGCCGGCCUGAGAGGGCGACCGGCCACACUGGGACUGAGACACGGCCCAGACUCCUACGGGAGGCAGCAGUGGGGAAUC
Molecule: ribosomal RNA, 335 nt
Filed under: uncultured bacterium
Lineage: Bacteria
Description: bacterial SSU rRNA
Rfam family: Bacterial small subunit ribosomal RNA
Source: RNAcentral